This 613-nucleotide ribosomal RNA is filed under the name uncultured fungus. RNAcentral describes it as "eukaryotic LSU rRNA". It matches the Rfam family "Eukaryotic large subunit ribosomal RNA", at positions 38 to 667 of the family's 3401-position model. Lineage: Eukaryota; Fungi. The record is from RNAcentral.
GCAUAUCAAUAAGCGGAGGAAAAGAAACCAACAGGGAUUGCCUUAGUAACGGCGAGUGAAGCGGCAAAAGCUCAAAUUUGAAAUCUGGCACUUUCAGUGUCCGAGUUGUAAUUUGAAGAAGGUAACUUUGGAAUUGGCCCUUGUCUAUGUUCCUUGGAACAGGACGUCACAGAGGGUGAGAAUCCCGUGCGAUGAGGUGACCAAUUCUAUGUAUAGUGCUUUCGAAGAGUCGAGUUGUUUGGGAAUGCAGCUCUAAGUGGGUGGUAAAUUCCAUCUAAAGCUAAAUAUUGGCGAGAGACCGAUAGCGAACAAGUACAGUGAUGGAAAGAUGAAAAGAACUUUGAAAAGAGAGUGAAAAAGUACGUGAAAUUGUUGAAAGGGAAGGGCUUGAGAUCAGACUUGGUACUUUGCGUUCCCUUCCUUUUUGGUUGGGUUCCUCGCAGUUUACUGGGCCAGCAUCGGUUUGGAUGGUAGGAUAAUGACAUUGGAAUGUGGCUCUACUUCGGUGGAGUGUUAUAGACUUUGUUGAUACUACCUAUCUAGACCGAGGACUGCGUCUUUGACUAGGAUGCUGGCGUAACGAUCUUAAGCCGCCCGUCUUGAAACACGGACC